ACAGCAGCCGCCACGGUAAUACGUAGGGUGCAAGCGUUAAUCGGAAUUACUGGGCGUAAAGCGUGCGCAGGCGGUUAUAUAAGACAGAUGUGAAAUCCCCGGGCUCAACCUGGGAACUGCAUUUGUGACUGUAUAGCUAGAGUACGGCAGAGGGGGAUGGAAUUCCGCGUGUAGCAGUGAAAUGCGUAGAUAUGCGGAGGAACACCGAUGGCGAAGGCAAUCCCCUGGGCCUGUACUGACGCUCAUGCACGAAAGCGUGGGGAGCAAACAGGAUUAGAUACCCCGUAGUCCCUGUCUCUUAUACA
Molecule: ribosomal RNA, 305 nt
Filed under: uncultured bacterium
Lineage: Bacteria
Description: partial 16S ribosomal RNA
Rfam family: Bacterial small subunit ribosomal RNA
Source: RNAcentral